Long non-coding RNA from Equus asinus (donkey), 3462 nucleotides. NCBI's taxonomy places the organism in Eukaryota, Metazoa, Chordata, Mammalia, Perissodactyla, Equidae. The record is from Ensembl.
CAAGAAUCCUACAUCCAGCAAAAUCAUCUUAUGAAAAUAAUAUUGGUGAAAUAUUUCCCCAAAUAAACAAAGUGAGAGAAUUUGUGCUAGCAGAUCUGCCUUACAAGAAAUACUAGAAGAAGUUCUUCAGGCUGAAGGGGACUUCAGGAUGUGGAGAAACUCAGAUGCAGUCCAUGCAGCCACUGGUGGUUCUAUUGACUUUGCAAGUUCUUCUUUGGCAAGAUGUAGUAACAAGGCCUGAAGUGCCCUCCUGCUCAAAACAACUAAAAAACUAUAUUGACAAAAUGUAUGAAACAAGUUUUCAGACAUUGGACAUCAAAGACUGUAGGACAAUGAUCCCUGAGAGAGGUGAGCCCUGUGAUUACCCUAGCUUGCUGCUGGAAACUCUUUCCAGGCAUGGCACAGGGAGGGAGAACUCAGGCGGAGCCUGGUAAUCUCCUUCAAUUGAGGAUACAGAGUCCAGGGUGGCCAAAGUGUCUGGAAUUUUCAGGGCAAAGUACCAGAGGCAAGAGACCUGCACAGAGAGACUCUCUAGGGAUCUGAGAGAGUCCCCUCAAGUUUUCAGCUGGAUAAUAGUCAGUGCAUAUGAGGAAGGAAACCAUCCAUGUCUGUGGAAGAACCACCUGAAAGGAGCAGAGGAAACAAUUCUCAAAGCUCACAUAGGGAAAAGAAUAGUUCAUGUUCACCCUAGACAGAGUAGAAAACCUUAUAAUUCACCUAUCAUUGGUGGAGGGGGAAAAUUAGCGCUAGACUAAAGGCAACCCUAGUUCCAUAUAACAAAGAUUAAGGGCAAGCCUCCAAAAGAUCAAACUAUUUGUAAAUGAUUUAACUGCAUCUCAGAAGAAAGCUCAAAAAUAUAUGUAUGAGUACAAAAACAUCCAGUAUCCAACAAGGUAAAGUUCACAAUGUCUGGCAUUUAAUUUUUAAAAAUUACAAAAAUGCAAAGAACCAGGAAAAUACAACCUAUAAUGAGGACAACCGUAAAUCAGUAGAAUCAGACCCAGAAAUGCCACAGAUAAUAGAAUUACUAGACAAGGAUAUUAAAACAGGUGCUAUAACUAUAUUCCAUAUGUUCAAGAAGAUAGAGGAAAGAUUGAGCACAUUAAGUUGAGAUAUGGAAGAUAUAAAAAGACCCACAUUGAAAUACCAGAUGCAAACUACGAGAUGAAAAAUACAUUGCAUGAGGUUAGCAUCAGAUUAGAUACUGAAGAAGAAAAGAUUAGUGAAUCUGAAGACAGCCAUAAAAACUAAAAUCAAGCGAAAAAAGACUGAAAGAAAAAAAGAAACAGUAUAGGGGAGGCUGUCAUAUAACUUCAAGCAGCAUAAUGUAUGUAUAAUUGGAGUCCCUGAAGAAGGGUGUAGGGGACAGAAAAAUUACUUGAAGAAAUAAUGGCUGAAAACUCCAAAUUAGAUAAAAAUUAUAAACCCAUAGAUCAAAGAAGCUCAGUGAACCCCAAGAACAAGAAACAUGAAUAAAACUACACCAAAUAACGUGAUAAAUUACUUAAAACCAGUGAUAUGCCUCUAGAUAUGACUGACCUGUCAGUCUGUCCCAGAACUUUCCCUUUGGACAGGAACUGACUGAGCUAAGGACACAGUAUCCCUGGAACUUUGACAGUAUAUGAAGUUUAGUGUCUGCUCCAUUCCAAACUCUUUAAAUGAAUCAGAUCUGCCCUAAAACAUGAGAUCCAGCCUCAGGCAAUAUCAGCUGUCACUGGGUUUCAUCCAGACAGCCUGCCAUUUUCUGUCCAGAUUGUCCCAUUUAUUUUCUUGGCCUGCUUGGCUCGGCAAUCCCCUUGCAUUUUAAUAUAUGCUCAUGUCGUUUUUACAUGCACAAUCCAUUUGAGCAGGAUUUUCUGGCUUUGGCCUUCAGCACUCUCUCCAGACCUGAUUUAGUAAAUGUCCUCUGCCCCAGUGCUCAGGACCUAUGCCAGAUAGGCUGACCAUGAUUCCUACCAGUUUUCCUGUGAAAAAUUUUCAGGAAGUUUUAAGAGAGUAGAUUUUAAAAGUUCUCAUCACAAGAAAAAAAAAUUGUAACUGUGAGUUGAUGGAGGUUAACUAAACUCAUCCUCGUAAUCAUUUUGCAAUGUAUACAUAAUCAUUACAUUGUACAUCUAAAAUGAAUACAAUGUUAUAUGUCAAUUAUAUCUCAAUUAAAAAACUUUUCCAGAAAUAACUUUAAACUUUCUGACCAUGUGGUCAAACUCUAGGCAAUGUUGGGAUCCAGCUGGGUGCUAUGAAAGUUUCAAGUUUCAAGUUGAGAAUUUCAGUUGCAUUUGUUAUAUGAAUCUGGAGCCUGAAUUGAAAUAUGCCCUCACAUCAGCUAUGCCUUGUGAGAAAUACCAGUGUUCUGCUUCCUCAGUCAAAACUGAGCAAUAACUACUAGCACUGUUGGCAUGGAUACUAACUCUAUAACAAGGCACUUGUGUAUAAAUAAAGUUGAAUAAAGUAUUUUUGGAUAUCUUUUGUAUUACUGCAAAAGUUAAUUUUUUGGAAUUGCUUGCUUCUGCAUUAAAAAAUUAGCCUUCCACAUAUAUUGUUUCCUGAUCAUAUUGCUCUUUGUCAAAAACACUUGUACACACUUCUGCUGUAUAAAUGAUGCUUAAAUGUCUAUGUAGAGUCAUAUGUGGCCUAUGUGUACAACCCUAAAAUAAACCAGAAGUGGUGGUGCAGCUUUAGGAUCCCAAAGGAGGCCAAGACCAAAUAAGUUCUGGAACACAACUUUAUUUUUAUUUUGGUGAACAUCUGGGCCCACAGUGGGGUGACAGGGAAGGAGUGAGAAAAUAAAGAUGAAAACACCUGGUCUUAGUCUUAAGGGUUCACAAUUUACAGGCAAGACAACAGUCAGGUGAAGCAGAAUGAGAUAAAUCAUUAAUUAAGUAUAAGCUUCACGCUGAGGGCUUGAAGAGGUGGGACACAUUACAUUUGCGGCAGGAAUUAGGUUCUAGUAAGUCAGACAUGCAGUGAAAAGGAAUAUAGGAAAUCAGAGAAAAUAGCUGGGGCUUCAACCAGUUGCUAGAUGUUGAGUUUUGAAACUCUUGUGGGACUGAAGCUAAAUCUAUGUGGUUUGUGGCUUAGUGAACAGAUGUGUCAGUAUCUUCUGUGGCCUACAGACACUGUAGGAACCUGAGCACAGAAGAGAAUGCUUCCUGUUAGUCUACAUGACGAGGUCAGCUCCACUCUAUCAUUAACGUACUCAGGCCACCUCACACGGGGCCCGGACUGUCACACAAACCCACUACAUAUCUCAGCAAAGGUUGCAUGUGCAAGCCACUUCGUUAUUUUAGAUUUUGCCACUUUUUGGAAUUACACUUGUAUGAUUCUCUUUAUUACCCUUAGCGAGAAUAAUCAAUUAACCUUAAAUGAUAAUGGAAAGGGGAAAGAAAUGAUGUAAUAGAUGAAGCAAGUAUGGUAAAUGCUUAUAAGUAGAUAAAAAGGAGAGGAGAUCAGUGCAUGAAUUGG